GAUGAACGCUGGCGGCGUGCCUAAUACAUGCAAGUCGAGCGAACGGACGAGAAGCUUGCUUCUCUGAUGUUAGCGGCGGACGGGUGAGUAACACGUGGAUAACCUACCUAUAGGACUGGGAUAACUUCGGGAAACCGGAGCUAAUACCGGAUAAUAUUUUGAACCGCAUGGUUCAAAAGUGAAAGACGGUCUUGCUGUCACUUAUAGAUGGAUCCGCGCUGCAUUAGCUAGUUGGUAAGGUAACGGCUUACCAAGGCAACGAUGCAUAGCCGACCUGAGAGGGUGAUCGGCCACACUGGAACUGAGACACGGUCCAGACUCCUACGGGAGGCAGCAGUAGGGAAUCUUCCGCAAUGGGCGAAAGCCUGACGGAGCAACGCCGCGUGAGUGAUGAAGGUCUUCGGAUCGUAAAACUCUGUUAUUAGGGAGGAACAUAUGUGUAAGUAACUGUGCACAUCUUGACGGUACCUAAUCAGAAAGCCACGGCUAACUACGUG
This 497-nucleotide ribosomal RNA is filed under the name uncultured bacterium. Its description in RNAcentral is "partial 16S ribosomal RNA". It matches the Rfam family "Bacterial small subunit ribosomal RNA", at positions 28 to 507 of the family's 1533-position model. The record is from RNAcentral.